This 324-nucleotide unclassified non-coding RNA is filed under the name soil metagenome. RNAcentral describes it as "partial contains 5.8S ribosomal RNA, internal transcribed spacer 2, and large subunit ribosomal RNA". The stretch from base 1 to 120 matches the Rfam family "5.8S ribosomal RNA", at positions 35 to 154 of the family's 154-position model. The record is from RNAcentral.
GAUGAAGAACGCAGCGAAAUGCGAUAAGUAAUGCGAAUUGCAGAAUUCAGUGAGUCAUCGAAUCUUUGAACGCACAUUGCGCCCUGUGGUAUUCCGCAGGGCAUGCCUGUUCGAGCGUCAUUUCAACCCUCAAGCCUCGCUUGGUGUUGGGCCCUGCCCGCCGCGGCCGGCCCUAAAGAUAGUGGCGGCGCUGCCUGGCCCUCAGCGUAGUACAGCUCUCGCUCCAGGGUCCGGCGGCAGCCUGCCAGAACCCCCCAACUCUGUGGUUGACCUCGGAUCAGGUAGGGAUACCCGCUGAACUUAAGCAUAUCAAUAAGCGGAGGA